RNAcentral lists this ribosomal RNA (443 nucleotides) under uncultured bacterium. RNAcentral describes it as "partial 16S ribosomal RNA". It matches the Rfam family "Bacterial small subunit ribosomal RNA", at positions 338 to 795 of the family's 1533-position model. The record is from RNAcentral.
CCUACGUGAGGCAGCAGUGGGGAAUAUUGGGCAAUGGGCGCAAGCCUGACCCAGCAACGCCGCGUGAAGGAAGAAGGCUUUCGGGUUGUAAACUUCUUUUGUCAGGGACGAAGCAAGUGACGGUACCUGACGAAUAAGCCAAGGCUAACUACGGGCCAGCAGCCGCGGUAAGACGUAGGGGGCAAGCGUUACCCGGAUCUACUGGGUGUAAAGGGGGAGUAGGCGGGACUGCAAGUCAGAUGUGAAAACCACGGGCUCAACCUGUGGCCUGCAUUGGAAACUGUAGUUCUUGAGUACUGGAGCGGCAGUCGGAAUUCCUAGUGUAGCGGUGAAAUGCGUAGAUAUUAGGAGGAACACCAGUGGCGACGGCGGUCUGCUGGACAGCAACUGACGCUGAGGCGCGAAAGCGUGGGGAGCAAACAGGAUUAGAUACCCCAGUAGUC